GGGUUGUGAGGUUAAGCGAAUAAGCGUACACGGUGGAUGCCUAGGCAAUCAGAGGCGAUGAAGGACGUGCUAAUCUGCGAAAAGCGUCGGUAAGGUGAUAUGAACCGUUAUACCCGACGAUAUCCGAAUGGGGAAACCCAGUAUCCAAUGGAUACUAUCAUUAACUGAAUCCAUAGGUUAAUGAGGCGAACCGGGAGAACUGAAACAUCUCAGUACCCCGAGGAAAAGAAAUCAACCGAGAUUCCCCUAGUAGCGGCGAGCGAACGGGGAGCAGCCCAGAGUCUUAAUCAAUAACAGUGUCAGGAGAACGGUCUGGAAAGUCCGGCAGUAAAGGGUGAUAGCCCCGUAUCUGAAGAUGCUGUUAUUGUGAACUCGACGAGUAGGGCGGGACACGUGUUAUCCUGUCUGAAUAUGGGGGGACCAUCCUCCAAGGCUAAAUACUCCUGAUUGACCGAUAGUGAACCAGUACCGUGAGGGAAAGGCGAAAAGAACCCCGGCGAGGGGAGUGAAAAAGAACCUGAAACCGUGUACGUACAAGCAGUAGGAGCCUCUUUAUGGGGUGACUGCGUACCUUUUGUAUAAUGGGUCAGCGACUUAUAUUCUGUAGCAAGGUUAACCGCAUAGGGGAGCCGUAGGGAAACCGAGUCUUAACUGGGCGAAUGAGUUGCAGGGUAUAGACCCGAAACCCGGUGAUCUAUCCAUGGGCAGGUUGAAGGUUGGGUAACACUAACUGGAGGACCGAACCGACUAAUGUUGAAAAAUUAGCGGAUGACUUGUGGAUGGGGGUGAAAGGCCAAUCAAACCGGGAGAUAGCUGGUUCUCCCCGAAAGCUAUUUAGGUAGCGCCUCGUGAACUCAUCUUCGGGGGUAGAGCACUGUUUCGACUAGGGGGUCAUCCCGACUUACCAACUCGAUGCAAACUGCGAAUACCGAAGAAUGUUAUCACGGGAGACACACGGCGGGUGCUAACGUCCGUCGUGAAGAGGGAAACAACCCAGACCGCCAGCUAAGGUCCCAAAGUCAUGGUUAAGUGGGAAACGAAGUGGGAAGGCUCAGACAGCCAGGAUGUUGGCUUAGAAGCAGCCAUCAUUUAAAGAAAGCGUAAUAGCUCACUGGUCGAGUCGGCCCGCGCGGAAGAUGUAACGGGGCUAAACCAUGCACCGAAGCUGCGGCAGCGACACGUAGUGUUGUUGGGUAGGGGAGCGUUCUGUAAGCCUGCGAAGGUGUACUGUGAGGUAUGCUGGAGGUAUCAGAAGUGCGAAUGCUGACAUAAGUAACGAUAAUGCGGGUGAAAAACCCGCACGCCGGAAGACCAAGGGUUCCUGUCCAACGUUAAUCGGGGCAGGGUGAGUCGACCCCUAAGGCGAGGCUGAAAAGCGUAGUCGAUGGGAAACGGGUUAAUAUUCCCGUACUGGUGGUAACUGCGAUGGGGGAACGGAGAAGGCUAGGUUGUCCGGGCGACGGUCGUCCCGGUUCAAGCAGGUAGGCAGAGUGAUUAGGCAAAUCCGGUCACUUAAUGCUGAGAUGUGAUGACGAACCACCAAGGUGGUGAAGCAAUUGAUGCCCCGCUUCCAGGAAAAGCCUCUAAGCUUCAGGUUACCAACAAUCGUACCCCAAACCGACACAGGUGGUCAGGUAGAGAAUACUCAGGCGCUUGAGAGAACUCGGGUGAAGGAACUAGGCAAAAUGGUGCCGUAACUUCGGGAGAAGGCACGCUGGCGGUAGGUAAAGUCCCUCGCGGACGGCGCUGAAGCCAGUCGAAGAUACCAGCUGGCUGCAACUGUUUAUUAAAAACACAGCACUGUGCAAACACGAAAGUGGACGUAUACGGUGUGACGCCUGCCCGGUGCUGGAAGGUUAAUUGAUGGGGUUAGCCGUAAGGCGAAGCUCCUGAUCGAAGCCCCAGUAAACGGCGGCCGUAACUAUAACGGUCCUAAGGUAGCGAAAUUCCUUGUCGGGUAAGUUCCGACCUGCACGAAUGGCGUAAUGAUGGCCAGGCUGUCUCCACCCGAGACUCAGUGAAAUUGAACUCGCUGUGAAGAUGCAGUGUACCCGCGGCAAGACGGAAAGACCCCGUGAACCUUUACUAUAGCUUGACACUGAACAUUGAGCCUUGAUGUGUAGGAUAGGUGGGAGGCUUUGAAGUGUGGACGCCAGUCUGCAUGGAGCCAACCUUGAAAUACCACCCUUUAACGUUUGAUGUUCUAACCUAGGCCCAUAAACUGGGUCGGGGACCGUGUCUGGUGGGUAGUUUGACUGGGGCGGUCUCCUCCUAAAGAGUAACGGAGGAGCACGAAGGUUGGCUAAGCAUGGUCGGACAUCAUGCGGUUAGUGCAAAGGCAUAAGCCAGCUUGACUGCGAGAGUGACGGCUCGAGCAGGUACGAAAGUAGGUCUUAGUGAUCCGGUGGUUCUGAAUGGAAGGGCCAUCGCUCAACGGAUAAAAGGUACUCCGGGGAUAACAGGCUGAUACCGCCCAAGAGUUCAUAUCGACGGCGGUGUUUGGCACCUCGAUGUCGGCUCAUCACAUCCUGGGGCUGAAGUAGGUCCCAAGGGUAUGGCUGUUCGCCAUUUAAAGUGGUACGCGAGCUGGGUUUAGAACGUCGUGAGACAGUUCGGUCCCUAUCUGCCGUGGGCGUUGGAAGAUUGAGAGGGGUUGCUCCUAGUACGAGAGGACCGGAGUGAACGCACCACUGGUGUUCGGGUUGUCAUGCCAAUGGCAUUGCCCGGUAGCUAAGUGCGGAAGAGAUAACCGCUGAAAGCAUCUAAGCGGGAAACUUGCCUCGAGAUGAGUCUUCCCUGUCACUUUAAGUGACCUAAAGGAACGUUUAAGACUAAGACGUUGAUAGGCUGGGUGUGUAAGCGUAGCGAUACGUUGAGCUAACCAGUACUAAUGAACCGUGAGGCUUAACCUGACAACACCGAAAGUGUUUUG
RNAcentral lists this ribosomal RNA (2932 nucleotides) under Proteus mirabilis. RNAcentral's name for it is "23S ribosomal RNA". It matches the Rfam family "Bacterial large subunit ribosomal RNA". The record is from RNAcentral. Lineage: Bacteria; Pseudomonadati; Pseudomonadota; Gammaproteobacteria; Enterobacterales; Morganellaceae.